RNAcentral lists this long non-coding RNA (550 nucleotides) under Mytilus galloprovincialis (Mediterranean mussel). The record is from RNAcentral. Lineage: Eukaryota; Metazoa; Mollusca; Bivalvia; Mytilida; Mytilidae.
AUCAGGGCCGUAACUACAUUGAGGCAAAUGAGGCAAAUGCCUCAUGUUUGAAAUUUCCAAAAAAAAAAAAAAAAAAAAAACUGAAACAAAAAGAUUGUCAAAUUGUUUUGACGGAAAGUGUCUUGCAAGAAGCCAGUUCUCUUCACUCUCUGGUGUAGCCCCUUCAUGUUUUUCGUGAUCCAUGUUUCUAUUUUACUUUUAGUUAUCAGAGUUGAUGGUCUAUUGUUUGUACUUCUAUGUCCCGGGUUUGUCUUUUGUUAAUUUAUUGUCCUACUUAAUGACUAUAGUCUGAGUGUUGAUUUUCAUUUGUAAACGUGUGGUUUUGCAAUGUUGCAUGCCAACCGAUGUCCAGACAAUGUGCGAGAAAAUAUUUUAAGAAUAUACGAUGCUACAAGACACAGAAAUGAAUCGUCGUUUCUGCAUGGAGAAUUGAACUUGAUAUCAAAGAGAACAAAACUGGCUUUUUUCGUAGAUAAAACUAGAAAGCUGACAUGGUUUAAAUUGAAAUAUGGUCACCAAUUCCACGGUAUCAAAAAAAUUGAAAAAAAAA